CACGGAGGGUGCGAGCGUUGUCCGGAAUCACUGGGCGUAAAGGGCGCGUAGGCGGCGAGGAUAGUCAACGGUGAAAGCUUGGGGCUCAACCCCGAGUCGGCCGUCGAUACUUCCUUGCUUGAGCACUGUAGAGGCAGAUGGAAUUCCGGGUGUAGCGGUGGAAUGCGUAGAGAUCCGGAAGAACACCGGUGGCGAAGGCGGUCUGCUGGGCAGUAGCUGACGCUGAUGCGCGACAGCGUGGGGAGCAAACAGG
This 253-nucleotide ribosomal RNA is filed under the name uncultured bacterium. Its description in RNAcentral is "partial 16S ribosomal RNA". It matches the Rfam family "Bacterial small subunit ribosomal RNA", at positions 524 to 776 of the family's 1533-position model. The record is from RNAcentral.